Molecule: ribosomal RNA, 497 nt
Filed under: uncultured bacterium
Lineage: Bacteria
Description: partial 16S ribosomal RNA
Rfam family: Bacterial small subunit ribosomal RNA
Source: RNAcentral
GAUGAACGCUGGCGGCGUGCCUAAUACAUGCAAGUCGAGCGAACGGACGAGAAGCUUGCUUUUCUGAUGUUAGCGGCGGACGGGUGAGUAACACGUGGAUAACCUACCUAUAAGACUGGGAUAACUUCGGGAAACCGGAGCUAAUACCGGAUAAUAUUUUGAACCGCAUGGUUCAAAAGUGAAAGACGGUCUUGCUGUCACUUAUAGAUGGAUCCGCGCUGCAUUAGCUAGUUGGUAAGGUAACGGCUUACCAAGGCAACGAUGCAUAGCCGACCUGUGAGGGUGAUCGGCCACACUGGAACUGAGACACGGUCCAGACUCCUACGGGAGGCAGCAGUAGGGAAUCUUCCGCAAUGGGCGAAAGCCUGACGGAGCAACGCCGCGUGAGUGAUGAAGGUCUUCGGAUCGUAAAACUCUGUUAUUAGGGAAGAACAUAUGUGUAAGUAACUGUGCACAUCUUGACGGUACCUAAUCAGAAAGCCACGGCUAACUACGUG